Molecule: long non-coding RNA, 420 nt
Filed under: Rattus norvegicus (Norway rat)
Lineage: Eukaryota; Metazoa; Chordata; Mammalia; Rodentia; Muridae
Description: long non-coding RNA NONRATT020483
Source: RNAcentral
UAUUUUAGAUCACAGGGGUUCAGAUACUGAUUUCAGUGUCCAUCAUUUUCUCACCCCACCCCUAGACUGUUGCAGGCCCCUCCCCUUCAGGCUGAAGUGCUUGCUGGGAGAUUCUCUUACGAUUUUUCUGUUUCUCAUUUGGGGAUUCAAACACUAAUGACUAGGAGAGUCUCCAUUAGUCACCUUUCCUGGUACAGUAAUAAAAAUAGCUUCCAAGAGCAACUUCAGGGAGGAAGGCUUGACACUUUCCGGGGGCAGGCCCUUGAGGUAACUGGGCAUCUUGCAUCGGUAGUGGGAGGCAGAAUGGUGUGGAUGCAUGUGCUCAGCCCGUUUCUCCCAUUUAAUGCAUCCCUGGACCCAAGCCUGGGGACGGUACCACUCACUUUUAGGGUGGCUCUUCUACCUCAAGUUACUUGAUUU